Long non-coding RNA from Gadus macrocephalus (Pacific cod), 1845 nucleotides. RefSeq lists it as uncharacterized. The transcript has 2 exons. Lineage: Eukaryota; Metazoa; Chordata; Actinopteri; Gadiformes; Gadidae. The record is from RefSeq and is a predicted model, not a curated record.
ACAUACAUCUAUACAUAAGGUUUCUGAGAACAGCAGGACAAGUUGGCACAUCAACAUUCACAAACGGAAGGCUUGCGCUACUCCAUCUAGGCACUUUGAGUUGUAGCCUCAUACCAUAAUUGAAUGCCGCUUCUUUUGUAGCAAGAAGCAGCAAGUGUUAUUUUCACAGAAGAUGAACACAUACCAAAUUUUCUGAUAAGCAUAUUAGCUUGUGCAUACAUCAUACGAUACUGCCUGCAAAUUUCACGGUCAUUAGACUGGUCGUCAGUUAUGUAAUGUUAUACGUUUUUAGCCUCAUUACAUAUGUUAAGGACUGUGCCAGGAAAGGAGAAAUCAGUAGUUAUCAGUUUCUUAUCUGCCUUACUUCAUGAGCAUCAGCUGUAUGUGGCCUUAGUGCCUAGAUUUAAUAUGACAACCGCCACUGUUGUUUGGACAGGCGGGUAGACGUAAACUGGCAGAUAAAUCUAAGUGUUAUGAUUUCUCUCAUUCAUUUCUUAUGUUUGCAUUUGUGUCUUGCAGAAGAUGAAGGAGAAUGCAUGCAGUGGGCUGAAUGGAGAAUUCGUGAAUCAAAGGCAACACCAUCAAAUGCAUUAUGAAAUUAAGCACUAUCAGGUUGUCAAGGCUGUAGCUCAGCGGGUACAUGGUCCUGGAUACCUGUUUUUUUUUUUUGAAAACUAUUUAUAUAUGGAAUCUGAAUGCACUCUCCAAGAAAUGCUGCAGUUCUUUGUGCCACAAGAGGCCAAGAAGCUCUACUACAAGAAGUUGAGGCAGAAGAUGAAGAUUAUUACAAAUUAUCCAAGUCAGUUCAGACCAAGUAAUUUGAUUGGACAAGAGGCAUUCCAGUGCUGAUAUAGAGUAUAACAGCACUGGGUCUUUUAACUAUCCACGUAUCGCUCCGCUUUACGGGUGUUCUCAUAACCGUUAAUGUUAUUAACAAUCUUUUUGUAGCUUAGAUUGCAGCUAACUUUGCACAGCAAAUAUGAACAUGUUUCCAGGAAUAACAUUGGAGUUGAAUUAAGAAUGGUCGCCAGAAGAGGACCAAGGGAACCUAAUGUAAUGCUAAUGUGUUUGUGUUGCUUGGCAACAGUUCAGUCCAGUUGCGGAUCUAUUUGUGUUGGCGGAGCCAAAUAAAUCAUUAAUGAACCAAAGAAAUCUGAUCAUAAUAUGUUGUUAAUUAUUAUUGUUAACUAAUGAUUGGUGCUUGUAGAACUGUUGGAUAAAAGCAAUAUCUCUCAGGAGUGAGUGCUGUUGUACUACGGCUGGGAUUCGAAUCACAGCCGUGCUGAUAUUCAGUACAACAGCACUCCCUCUCGUGUGAUAUUGCUUAAUUAUUCUGUUCCAAAAUUCCAUAAAAAGUCUGAUUACUAAGAAAUAUAGAUGUAUAGUUACUUUUGUCAGUUUCAAGUUUUUGUUUUAACACGGGGGUACCAACAAUGUGUAUGAUGUAUGACUACCUUAAAGCAUUUGUCGAUGAUCUCACCCAGCUGCUGAGAGAACCUUCAGAGGUAAACCUCUAAGGUGUGCUCCUUUAUAAGCGAUGCUCCAGCAUGUGCUUUUCUCCAAAACAGUGUGCUAUCCUCUGGUUCAGUCUUUAUCAUCUACAGUUGAUUUAGGUACAAAAAAAGCCCAUUUCACAUAUCCCAUCGAUUAAAUGCACCUCUGCUGUUUGGGUGUAAAUUUUGCCAUCACUAUUUCUUCUUACGGAGAUGAAGACAACUACUUGCCUCUUUCAUGCAUCUCCUUUGUCCACAUCUAUGUUUGGGGAAUGUAAUUUGAAGCCAUUCCGUAAGUGUUUGCUAUGCCUCAUUGUUUAUUUUACUGCAUACUACAUUGGCACACUUGGGA